This 5084-nucleotide long non-coding RNA is filed under the name Homo sapiens (human). RNAcentral describes it as "non-protein coding lnc-GDF10-2:3". The record is from RNAcentral. Lineage: Eukaryota; Metazoa; Chordata; Mammalia; Primates; Hominidae.
AUCACCCAGAUCUGCAGUCUACUUUAUGAGACCAAGAUAUCAACUUCUUGUGGCCAUGCUAUGGAGAUUGCACAAUGGACCUAUUGCUUCAAAGGAGAGUCACACAACACUCCCCAGCCACUGUGUUGACAGCCCUGGGCUGGAGGAAAGGCAGCAGUCUUCACAGAGCUCACUUUACGGCUGGGCUCACCCUUCACCCCAAGACAGCUUUGAUCACUGGGAAGUUUCCACAAACACAGAAUGAAUGAGGAAGAAGGUGAUUAUAUUUUCGGUGUGAUCCACGUGGACGAGAGGUGUUGCAUGUUUUUACAAAUUGAAGAUCUGUGACAACCCUGGGUCAAGCAAGUCUAUCAGUGCCAUUCUUCCAACAGUGUAUAUGCUGGAGCAGCUGUACUUAAGUCCAGAAAUAAGAAGAUAUUUGAUCUGAGGACUCAGGAGAGAGCAUGGCUGCUGCAUAGAUGGUGCCUUCCAUCGCUUGACAUAGGGAAGCCCAGCCAAAGCCUGUGUCUUGGGCAGCCGGGGAGCUCUCAGGAUGGCUUGAAAUCUCCCACAUGGCCUGGGCCUGUUCUCCUUCCCCUCCAGCUCUCCUGGGUGCAGUCAAAGCUUCACUCCCUACACCCUACUGAACUAUCAGCUGACUGAUUCCCACUUGUCCAUGCCCCAGGACCCCACAGAAGCUCCACAUGCUUCCACAAGCUGAUGCACCAGUUCCAAGAGGAGGAAGAAAAGCUGGCACUCAGCCUUUAUUUCUCCCCAAACACCACAGUCAUUCAAUUCUGAAAAAAAAAAAAAAAAAAAAACCCAUUGCUUUGAAAAACAUAAAAUGAGAUCUAUCAAACAGCAUCUUGUAUUUUAAAGUGGAAAGAAUGGACUUUGGAAUCAUCUUUGGCAGCUAAUAGGCUGGGACACGCAGAGAAAGAGCUUGCCUGCCUCUGCAGACAUUCCUUGGACGAGUGGUUCUAAAUCCCAGCUACACACUCAAAUAGCUGCAGGAGGUUUAAAAACUGUCAAAUCUCCCAGCCCCUGCCCAGCCCAGUCAAUAUUUAUCUCAGGAGGAGGAGCCCUAAAACCAGUGUCUUUUCACAGAGCUCCCUACAUGACUUUGAUGUGUGGCCAGGUGAUAUCUCCUGAGUUCGGAGACACUGAUGCUAUCACUCACACCUAGUCAAAUGAGAGGAGUCGGGGAUGACAGAAGAAUGCAGGCAACUUACCUACCUGAAGCUGGGGCCUCAAGGUCACCAUGCCCUUGAGUGAGCCCUGUAUGGGUCUACCUUGUGUCUGAUGGUUCUCAGCAGGCACAGCUUCUCUUCAGGGCUUCUGCCGACAUCUUCCCUGCAUGUGGAAAAUGGCCUGGGGUCCCCUUAGACUCAGCUCAUGUCCUCCCCUUUGCUCAGGUUCCCUCUGAGUCCCGGUACCCGCCCAUGCUGCAGACCUCCUCAUGACUCCUUCCUCCCUGAGGCCUGGCCAUCUGCACACCCCCAUCCUAUCCUGUCAGCUUGUUUUUUGUCUCUUUGGUGACCAGACAUGAACCCCUCAAGGCUGUUCCCUCCACAUCCCCAGCGCUCAGUUUCAGGCCAGCCCAGGGCAGGAUGCACCUCGUGCAGACCAAGGGAAAGAGCCAGCAGCUGCUUCACAUGAGCCUGUCCUCUGCACCUGAAGAGAAUCUUUGGAAGGCCAGCGCCCCCACUUGUCCUGAAGGUGGAGGGGCUGUUCCCUCUAGCCCACACCUGUCAUUCUAGGACUAACUUUCACUUUUUGGAAGCCAGAGCCACUCCCGACCAUUCAGGGCCUUUCAGCAUUCGGAAGGGACAGUGACUCCUCCUUAGAUACCACAUGUAGGACAGGAGGGAAGUUCAAGAGUGGUGUCAAGGGCCAGAGACAGGGAAGCUGGGGGGUCUGAAAGAAGCUUCCAGGAGAUGUCUUCACUGCAAAAUACCAUACACCAAGGGGCUACAGGCUAAAACAAGACAUGUAUUUCUCACAGUUCUGGAGGUUGGGUGUUGGGGAUUAAGGUGCCAGCCAGCAUGGUGGGUCCCUGGUGAGGACUCUCUUCCUGGCUCACAGGUAGCCGACUUCUCACUGUGUCCUCACAUGUGGGAAAGAAAGCUCUGGUCUCUUCAUCCCCUCGUAAGGACUAAUCCCAUCAUGGAGGCACCACCUUCAUGACCCCAUCUAACCGUAAUUACCUUCUAAAGGCACCACCUCCCAUAAUAUCACCCUGGGGCUUGGGGCUUCAACAUAUGGAUUUGGGGGAACACAGACAUUCAGUCCAUAGCAAGGCACAUGGGGAAGUUGGAGCAUGAGAGCAGAGGAGACACCCACACAUCUCAGGAGAGCAGUCACGUGUUCGGAGGAUGUCAAGCCACGCUGAAGGCCCCUAGCCAUGCUGGGGAGAGCAUGCUCUAGCCAUGGAGUUGAAGAUGAGGUGGGAGUUGCCCUUGAGACCUUUCAUCUAGGACCUCCCAAGUUCCAUGAAGAGACAAGAGAAAACAGUAAGGGCACUGUAUUCAAGGGAAUGAGGGGUGAUGAGUCCCUCUUGGGUUCCUCAGUAAUGUCUUCCAGGACAGUCCAUUGAUUACACCUCUGCACCAGUCAGCGGACUUUUAGUGAGCCCUGGUAAUGUGCCAGAUGCUGUGCUGUGAGUGAGAUGUGCACAUUUCCUUCCUCGUGGAGCUCACACUCUCAUGGGGCAGACACACAAUCACACAAUCGCACACAUGUGCAGUGUGCAGAGCCUCCCUACAGGCUGGCCCGUGCCUUCCAGCUGCAUUCACCUGAUAGGAGGGCCAGCUGGAGACCAGAGGCUGGAGGCAGCCAGGGAGGAAUGUGGGCACUGGUUUUCUGACUCCCUGCCCGCUGCAUUCUCUGCAGCAGGCCCAGUUCCCGCCCAGCCCCCAUGCUGCACAAGGUUCUGAGAAUCACUCCUGCCCCCACUCCAUCAGGUCCCACUUAAGGUAGCUCCACUGGCUUAGAGGACCACCCCACCCCAGGGGCUUCACCUAAACCAGUCACACUUUGUAGACAGUCCCCUCAUUGAACUCUGAUCAAAUUACCCAAUUUAAAUAUACCAUCUGUUUCCCGCAGGGACUCUGACUGACCCAGUGACCUAGUCUAGGAGGUUAGGGAGUCUUCUGAGAAAAGGAUGCUUGAGCUGAACUCUGAAGGAUUAAAUUCUCACUGCUUUUAAUAGUAGGAUCCAACAUGUGUGUUUAGUCAGUAGUGGGGGUCCUGGUAAGCUUGAGCCUGCAGUGAGGGGUGCUGCAGGGGACACAGGCGAACCCAUGAAGCCCCUCACCCCACCUCUUAGCCAUGCCUGGCCAGGGAGGGCAUCCCUAGACCCAGGCUCAGCUAUAAGAAAGAGCAAGAACCAACAAACAUUUCUUAAGCACCACUCCGGGGCCAGGCCGUGUGCUGGGCCUGAACGCUUCUCAUAGGUGACGUGGAGACCUGGGGGUGGCUGCCAUCUGGUGCUCUGGGUUUUGAGGGGUGCUCUCUGAAAGACCAAGCUGAGCAGCAGGAGGCCCAGAAAUGGGGGCUCCCAUUAGACAUUGUGGCCAGUCUCACAGCACAGCCAGAAGGGCCAGCACUGCAGGGAGGGGAGCAGAGGGGAGGAUGUGCUCUUUGGCCAGGCGAAAGCCUGGUCCCCAGGACUGAGGUCCUAGAGAAUCAGGGAUGCAGGAGAAUGAUGAAGAGAGAGGUCUCAAGGCCAAAGACAAUAAGGUGAACUGUCAGAAAGUCUGGGAGAAAGAUGAUUUGAGGGUGACCCGAGAGGCUUGCUGUCAAAUGUCCCAAGAUCGGACAGUCGAGCAAGGCAGCAUGAUGGAAGGAAUCUAGCCCUGUCCAUCCACAUAAGCCCAAUUGCAAGUGCACUGUUGGAGUCAUGAAAAAUGUAAUGUCUAGUUCUGGUGUGAGCAGGGCCACUCUCUUCCAAAGAUACUCCCAUGGGAACAGAAAAAAAGGGUAGAAGCCCGAAGAGCCAUAAAAGGCAGCAAGGUCAGGAAGCCACCAGAAUGUCAGUGAGAUGUUUAAUUUUGAAAAUCAAUUAAUGUAAUGUGUCAUAUCAACAGAUCGAAGGGAGAAAGUCCAUGCUCAGGUUUAUAGAUGCAAAGAUCUGUUUGAUAAAAUUCAACAUCCACUCAUGACUUAAUAAAGAAACAAAACCUAUGGCAAAUCACAUGUAAAAGUGUUUAAGAUAUUCCCUUUAAUAUCAGAAAAGUGGCAAGAAUGCCUUCUUUUAUCUUUUCAAUGCUGUAAUGCAUUAAAGGGCUUAGGCAGUGCAAUAAGAAGAAAAAAGAAAUAAAAGAGAGAUUGGAAAGCAAUAAUCAAAGCUGUCAUUAUUUGAGGCAGAUAGAUAAUUGAAAGUACCUCUGAUUGGUUGCAGCAGACAAUCAGAUGUUUGCAUAGAGUAAGUUUGUAACUUCAGCCUCUGGUUGCUUUCCAAAACAAUUAGACUGAUUGCCGGCCACCACUUCAUUUACAUGGGGUGAACACCAAGUGGCCAAUGGGAAACCUCUAGGGGAUAUUUGGACCCCGGAAGAUACUGUAACCGAGGCCCUUGAGCUGCUGCUCUGGCCCACUCCCACCCUGUGGCAUGUACUUUCAUUUUCAAUAAAUUUCUACUUUUGCUGCUUCAGUCUUUCCUUGCUUUGCUGUGUGUUUUGUUCAAUUCUUUGUUCAAAACACCAAGAACCUAGACAACUUGCAGUCGAUACCCUCUACAGUUAACAAGCUGGGGAAUGCUCCUUCCAGGGUCCCAAGGUCCUUGCCUGGCUGAGCUUCUGGUGGCUGCCAGCAUUCCUCGGCUUGUGGCCGCAUCACUCCAUUCUCCAUCUCCAUGGUCACAUCACUUCUUUUCUGUCUGUUUUCAGCCUCCCUCUGCCUCUCUUAUAAAGACAUUUGUGAUGCAUUUAGGGCAUACCUGGUUACUACAGGAUAAUCCCCCUUAUCAAACUCCUUAACCUAAUCACAUCUGGAAUACAUUGUUUUUGCCUAGAAAUUCAUAUUCACAGGUUGCAGGGGUUAGGACCUUCUCAGGCACCAAAUGAUAAGAAAUCAUCUUUCUGAGUAACCCACAUGGAGUGGCC